Molecule: long non-coding RNA, 1738 nt
Filed under: Homo sapiens (human)
Lineage: Eukaryota; Metazoa; Chordata; Mammalia; Primates; Hominidae
Description: HSALNT0303139
Source: RNAcentral
CUUCCAGGCUGCUUUGUUUACCUAAGCAAGCCUGGGCAAUGGCGGGCGCCCCUCCCCCAGCCUGGCUGCCGCCUUGCAGUUUGAUCUCAGACUGCUGUGCUAGCAAUCAGCGAGACUCCGCGGGCGUAGGAUCCUCCGAGCCAGGUGUGGGAUAUAAUCUUGUGGUGCACCGUUUUUUAAGCCGGUCCGAAAAGCGCAAUAUUCGAGUGGGAGUGACCCGAUUUUCCAGGUGUGUCCGUCACCCCUUUCUUUGACUCGGAAAGGGAACUCCCUGACCCCUUGCACUUCCCAAGUGAGGCAAUGCCUCGCCCUGCUUCGGCUCGUGCACGGUGCAUGCACCCAAUGACCUGCGCUCACUGUCUGGCACUCCCUAGUGAGAUGAACCCGGUACCUCAGAUGGAAAUGCAGAAAUCACCCGUCUUCUGCGUCGCUCACGCUGGGAGCUGUAGACCGGAGCUGUUCCUAUUCGGCCAUCUUGGCUCCUCCCCUAGACAAGAGAGAAGAUAAGAAGCUACUGUAAGACUCAGCCUAGUGUCUGGCAUUUCCUUGGGAUGAUUUUAAAUCUAAUGUAUAAAUAUGGAAUACAAAUAACAAAGUCAUUAUUAGGCCACUUGCUUAAAUGACAGAAGAUUAGUAACUGAAGGACAAUGAUGUUAAGCAGUGGUUUGGAUGUUGAGAGUUUGAUUCCUUCAGGGUUCCUGGGCCUUUGCCUGCAUACCCUCCACAGUUCCUCCCAAUGCUUCUCCUUCCUCUUGACCCACAAACAGGGCAUCUUGGAAACAGGGAAUUCCUCCCAGACUUUUGUACAUCGACGGUUGCAUGAGAGGCCAAAACUCCAUCCCCUAAGAUGAUGGUUGUGACCUUGAUUUGCUUCUUAACCUGUAUCCAAGAUGCCUCCUGCCUGGGAGAGGUAAAACAAUACUUCUUAUUGCCCAUGUGAUUUGGAUAUGUCAAGGAACCUCCUUGAGACUCAGAUGGUUUUUAGUUGUUUCUUUCUGUGAAAUGGGGUGGUUGGGAGGAUUUGGUGACCACGUAUAAAAGGGCUUUAUAAAUUAUAAAUGCUCUAUCGAGAGGUUGGGGGCAGACCGGCUCCUAACUGUGUGAAGUCUGAGGGAAGAGCAGAAACAAAGGCUCACAUACACAUCUGAAUUUCAAAAAGUUAUAAAAACUGCCAAGUAAACACUUCAAUCUUUCUGCCUUGACAAGACACCUUAUAAAGAACUGAAAGGCUGAAUUUAAAUGUAGAAUUUUUUGACUUCUUGUAGCCCUAUGCUGCAGUGUGACUUGCCUCCCCACACCUCUUCCCUACUUUUUCUCUCCUGCCACAAAGGCCCUGGGUUCACAGGUGCAGGCAUCACAGUCCAUGGUUCAAGUUCUGCCUCCUCCCCCUCCAAGCAGCUACUUCUUGGCUACCUCCUCACCCCCAUGGCCUAGAAGUGUUCCAGGACCCACAACAGGGAGCUUGGAGUGGGCGUGUUUAUGAUGCACAUGAUGAACCAUUGGGCUUUUUCUUUUCUUUGACAUGGAGCUAAAAUUUGUAAUUGUCAAGAUUUCAGGGCCAUCGUUUUGAGUUAUAAGAAGUGAGUAUCUUGAGACCAUUAUCCUAUAGCAUUUUCCUAGCCUAAAUGACCAUUUACCAAAGAGAUUUAAUAGCCUAAGAAUAAAUUUUGUCUUUGUAAUUUUAUUUUUUUAUACUUCUGCAGUUCUGAAAUCAAGUUUACUUUCUCUGACCUUUUCU